AUAGGAUUCUUUCUUCAUGGUUUUUUAUCAAGAUCGAUGCUCGGCAAUGGUGCCAAAUGCCAUGAGAAGAAGGGAAAGAGAGAGAGGUGGGAUUGGCGUUCACCUUGAACUCUGAUGGCGUCUCCAGCUCCAAUUUCUGACAAACAUAGGUCUAGGAAAAUCAGCAUAAACGAGGAAGAAAGAGAUAGAGGAAGAAGAGAGGGGGGCCAUGUUCAUCGUGAUAUGCCUUGGAGGG
Molecule: long non-coding RNA, 235 nt
Filed under: Elaeis guineensis (African oil palm)
Lineage: Eukaryota; Viridiplantae; Streptophyta; Magnoliopsida; Arecales; Arecaceae
Description: long non-coding RNA (EGUI_LNC075986)
Source: RNAcentral